This 1141-nucleotide long non-coding RNA is filed under the name Erythranthe guttata (spotted monkey flower). Its description in RNAcentral is "long non-coding RNA (EGUT_LNC000425)". The record is from RNAcentral. Lineage: Eukaryota; Viridiplantae; Streptophyta; Magnoliopsida; Lamiales; Phrymaceae.
UUCUUACACGUCCAUCAUUGUGGUGUCGCAUUCAACAGAAUCUUAAAGAUUCCGUGGAAUAUUCUAUAGUGUAUACUCGUUUUGUGUAAAAAUGUAAUUUCUGAUGCACCAUAAUCUAAUGAUCAUCUUGUUUCAAAACGUGGAGCUCGAAUGUGGUAAAACGUGUACAAACCUGUGAAUAUUUCAAGUAAUAUAGAAGAUUCCAUUAAAUUUGACGCAAAUGUGAACGUGUAAGAAGAUUAAUAAUCGAUGAGGUGAUUGUAAUUAUUCAAAUAUUUGACUUUACCUCGAUAGAGUCCGUAAAUUAUUAAAAGCGAAAAAAUAGGGUUUAAAAAAAAUAAAUAGAAAAUACUUUAUAAUAGUCAGAACCAAGAAAAGAAGUACUCCAUUGACUAUAUGUUGUUGUGAAAUGACCAUAUUAUCCACGUAUAUCAGCAUAUUCCCCAUUGUGGAAUCGUCCACCGACGUCGUUUUAAUGGUAUCCCAAAUUGAAGGUUUCUAUCUUCGUGUCAGGGUUCGCCUAACUCCUCCCACCUCGAGUCACCGCUACCUAGCUAGCAUCUUGUUCAAGUACCAAUAACCCAAUCUGCAUUAUGUUGAAAACAAAAACAAAAAAUUGAAAAAUAAAUAUAUUGAAAUAGCCAGCGAAAUGAAAACAAAAAUAUAUAUUCAGAUUAUACAUUUUGACAGCACAUAUUGCAAAGAAAACUAUUGCAGACCUAUUAACAUUCUGCACUUAAUAAUUAACAGAAUAAUUUCAAUCUGAAAACAAAGUGUCCUGAAAUCAGUCAUAAAAAAAAAAUACAAUCACAACAAUUAGAUCCAAAUCAUCAUAUGAAAGACAUUUAAUUGUUUUGUUUUCCUUGCACGGAAGAUUGAAGAAGACAAAAACAGGAACAAUGAAAAUUGAAAAGCUAGAUCGAGAAUAAUUCCUCACAACCACGACUUCGUAUCGCUAUUUAAAAGUAGUGAAAAAAAAGGGAAAUUAAAUUUUGUACCUGCUGCUGUCGAUUAGAGCAACUCCAACCCAAAAAUAUCAAAACGAGUUUGCAAACAUUUAUUUGAUAUUUAAUAUUUUACUUUGAUAUUUAUCUAAAUGUAUUUUCAAGUACAAAAAUGGUGGUUAAAGGGUUAUCAAACC